Sphaerodactylus townsendi is the source of this 4677-nucleotide long non-coding RNA. RefSeq lists it as uncharacterized. NCBI's taxonomy places the organism in Eukaryota, Metazoa, Chordata, Lepidosauria, Squamata, Sphaerodactylidae. The record is from RefSeq and is a predicted model, not a curated record. The transcript has 3 exons.
GGGUAAAUGCACCCUCAAAUGCUGUGUCUAGGAGGGUAACAUGCACCCUGAAACCAGACAGUCUGCCCUUGUCUGAUUCAGACCCCGUGAUCUGGCAAGUUCGAACCACCGCAUGUGCGAAUGCACGCCGAAACACACUAGCCAUGCCACGGCCCCGUAUCUUUCCUUUGUUGUUAUGUGGACAUCCCGUCCUCGUUGUGAGGGUGCUAAGAGGUGAGGCAGAAAUCUUUUCUGGCCAGCACCCAUUGGGUGCACCUAUUGGGAAACCACCCCACCACCCCAAGUCAGCAUUAUUGUUCGAUAGCACUUAAGGUCGGUUUGCUUGUUUCUGAAACUGCAGUCGGCCAAGGAGGAAUUUCUGAAAUGAAUGCACCUUAUUAAUUACCUUACGCCAGCUGGGCUGUUAAGUUGUCUCCGUUUUCUUCUAUGGCUGCCAUCUCCAAGAUGGCGCCACCUAUGAAAUCAGGAGAGCAGGCCUCCGAUUUGCACUUUCCAACCCAACUUCACCAUUUCCAGUUGCUCUGCGUACAUCCCCCACACACCUGUGUGUGGGGAGGGGGUCACAGGAUAUCAGCAAAAGGUUUCCCAUGAUGCAAAACUCAGAAUUCCUUUUCAAAAGCUUCUCGUGUGUGGGGAGAGAGCCCCUUUCUCACGAAGAGAUCCUGUAAUAUUUCCCUUUGAGAACUGCUAGCUAUCGUUCCCCCACCCCCGGCCCCCAGUUUCAUGGCUACGACGACCCUCGUCGCAAAAAACUGGAAAAAAUCUAGACGUGUAUUUUCAGUUAACCCUUUCCAAGAUGUAGAUGUUGUCUUUGCUGAAUGGCAACUGAUUAAGAAAGCAAAACGCAUGGAGGCAGCGCAGCGAGAGCCUUUGACCUUUUCCUCUGGCUCCAACGCCUACUUUUAAUUUUGGCUCUUUGGCCAAAGCCAUCUCAUGGGCGUGGACACAACAUUAUCCCUUCCAGAAUCCACCUGAAGUCUUUGCCCAAGGUCGGCUGACACACUAGCAGUCAGCGGUGUCAAGACAUGUCCAUUUAUUACACACACACCCCUCCCAUAAUCUUUGAAAUGGCCUUGUAAUAUUUCCGUCCGACCUGCCCAAACUUUCUCAUCUGCAGACGAGAAGAAAAGACACCUUUUGGGGGUAAAGAUUCUUUGCCGGGUCAACUGAAGGCGAUUUUCUUCCGGUCGUAGGGGAACAAGAAAAGAAUCAAGCCUGUUCUAGACAAUCAGGAAGGGGGAUCAAGUGUGUGUGUGGGGGGGUGCUGUUGGCAAUUUAUGGGGAGGGGGGCUGUGAAGCAGCAAUGUAGACCUAUUCCCAGCCCUACCAUGUUCCCGUCAGAAUGACAAUACAGGAAGGGUCUGAAAAAUGGCCGUGGCCCUUAAUGGUUUCCCUUCUAGGUAAGACUGGCUGAUUGCCAGCUUUUCAUGCACUACAAAUUCCCUUAAAGACUAAAAGACACUUUUAAAUAUUAUUUGGGGAGGGAUGGAGUUGGGUUUUCAUGUUUUAAAGACCGGGGGGGAAUAAAUAAUGUACAUAAUAUUAUAUAGGCCAUUAUGGUGCUAUUGGGAAUUCAGUUACUCACGGCUGUAUAUCAUGUUCUGCACCCCACCCCACCCUAGACAACAUCAUAGCUUCAUAAAAGUGGGGGUUCUUUCUUCCUGGAAGGCACUGGCUGGAGGAGGGGGCCUGGAAGGGGGGGGGACGACCACAGGGUCUGAGUAGACAAUCCUUCCUUAAAAGCCAGGACACUUUGCAAGGUGGGGUGGGGGGGAAGGUGUAUAUUAAAAAAAAUAUUUAUUUUGCAAUAUGUGUUUAUUAAAUUGCUGCUUUUUUAAAAAAAGAGAUCGUUUUGACUUGCACAUUGUUGAUCUUGGAUUUGAGCGUCGGUGGCUUGUACGCUCGAGGGGGCGACACGGAACAAACAUGUAUAAUCUAGACUUAAAUUGCCAAUUAAGAGGAUUUUGUUCUGAAAGGGCUGCGGCGGCAUAUGAAGUGUGGGGCACCCUAGUCUCCUGCAAAAUUUUAGGACAGUAUUAAAAGUUUUAGUUCAAAGGUCAGCCCCUUCCCCCUCCCCCGAAGACGGUCGUAGAGGACACAUCCAAUAGGUCCUGAGUCUAGACUCUCUCCACACUAGUAAACUCUCAUUUCUAUCGACCCAACUAGAAAACGUUUGAAUGUGGUUUAACUUCUACGGCCGUCAUUUUCUGAAGGCAGUGGGAAAUCUAGAAUCGGGUCUUAAACGAGAUUCGAACCAGUUUAGGUUUGCUAUGUAGACAUUUAUGCUCGUAUUGUAGAUCUUCCGGUGGAAUGUGGGCGUGAGUGUUUUUCCCCCAGCAAAGGUGUGAGUGCCUGUUUGUGUGUGUGUAUCUGAACAAAAUAAUCUCAGAAAUAUCACAACUGGCCCCAAAUCUUUCCCCGUACCUCUGGCGAGCAAACUCUGCUUCAGACGGGGAGGGGCGGGAAUCCCGAUCCACUUAAACACAUGGUUAGUUAUGGUCAAUACAAAUAAAAAGUAAUAAUUGUUGGAAACGAGAAAAAAAAAGGACGGGAAGCCAGCAGAAGUAUGAAAUACAUGAAAUACCAAAAAAAAUUAAUAAGCUGUGCCUCUUCACUUUACUGCUGGCUUGUACUUCCUUUUUCACCCCUUCCUUGAGUUUUCUUCUUCUCCAAAUUGCAAUCUGUGGCCUUCUUUUGAGGGGUGGGGGAUUUUUUAUACCUGAUGUACCCUUAUACUGGGGUAGGGCUAUCGGGAUCGGCUGGGGGAAUCGAGCGGGCGGGGCGUGAUCCAAGAAGGAACGUGGAGGGCGGGGCUAGAGUUCUUCCAUGUCUGGGUUUUCUUUUCUACAUUAGGACUGUGACUUCCCUGAAGACUGCUUAGUUGAUUAAUUGUCUGCUUUUUUAAAUCGAUUAAUUAACAGACUAAAUUUGCAUACGGGGUAGGUUUGGAAACAGGGGUGGGGAGGUCCUUAUUUUGCUUUUUUUUUUUUUUGGUUAUUCAUACUUAUGUGAAAGCAAGCAUAUCUUGGAAGAGGCACUCCCUUCUGGGUAUAAGAGGAAAAAAGGCUUUUUUGAUAAGACUGUUCGAAGAGGCGUCCCACCCUGUCUGAGAAAGGAAAACGCUUCGUCUCAAGUUGCAUAGGGAGAAGCAUUCACUCUUCAUUUAAGUAUCGUUUGAAGAGGUAUUCCUGAGGCACUCCUUCCUAUGUGCGAGAAAAGGACAAACACCUCUUCUAAGAAGACGAUUGCCUCUUUUAUAUAUAUAUAUAUCGCUAUCUAUACGUAUAUAUCUAUAGAUAUAGAUAUAUAUAAAUCUCCCGUGAAUCACACCGGUUGGCAAGUCACAGUGUGACCUGAAAGAUCUUUGCAUGGAAUUAUGUUCCAUAUAUUUCAAUAGGACUUACAUCUCCCUAUAAAUAUGCAUAGCAUUUCAUAUUUACAGGAGAGGCAAAUAUAUAUAUAUAUACUGUUUUGGUCAUUUUUAUUCAGACUCUGAAGGGAGGCAGGAUCUAAACGCGUCAGUGGAGUGAACAGGGUUCCUUGCGUCUUUUUUGACCUACGAAUGUCUGGGGCAGGAAGUGAGGCUGAUAUGUACCUGGAUGUGGAAAAGAGGUCAAGGGUCAUUUCGCUCCUCUUGGAGCCUGAUUAUGGCCAAAGGGCACAAGGUCUGUCCCACUCUUUUCUUGACAUUGCUGCCCUGUCGAUCCGUACGGUAUGUAUCCCCCAACGCGCAGCUGUUCAGUUUGGGAUGCCUCAUCCUAUGGGCCUGAUUUUCCAUUGUCUCUGUGUUACUCUCGAGGAGGGCAGUGCUGCAGGUAGAGUCCGGGGGGGCAGGAAAGAGAAUAGCGGACAUCUGUCUCCAAAGUGACGCCUCAGAUUUGAGUGGCAAGUUUUUAAUUUCUUUUUUUCCUCCCGGUCUCUCCCCAUCCUUUCCCCCGUUUUCUUUUUAUAUUUCUAAUUUUGGAGUAUAUUUCUUCUGCCCCCCCACUCCACCCUGUGUCCCCAUCCUUUGUCAUUUAUAUUUUACAGAUUUUACAGAAAUAAUAGUUACUCUCUCUCAAUCUUUUCUUCUUUUUUUUGGCUUCUUGCUUGCUAUUUCAUGUUAACAUGUACAAAACCACACUGACGCAACAAGGAAAUGGGAGCCGCUCCCCCCCCCAUAGAAGCUCACCUAAAUAUGGCAUAUCUUAUCCGCCCCCCCGUGCAAAUUUAACCAUUCGGCCUCUCCUUGGCUGCUUCUCAGCAUCCUCAUCCAACUACAAUUCCCAGAAUUCUUUGAGAGGGGAAGUCCAUGAUGUAAACUUGGUACCUGUCUAAAAACAUGCUGCAUCCAUGCCCUGUGGAAAAGACCAAUGGGCAAUCCAAAUUUCCUUUUCUGAUCCCAAUUUCAAUCUGGUUCCAAAAUGUAGCGACUGCAGCCCCCCCGCCCCCGCAGUCCAUUUCAGCAAGGAUAAUAAUGCCCCACCCCACAUAGAUUAUACCCCACCCCCAAGUAACGGCUCCCUUCCUUGGUGCUCAUAGCAUUUCUAUGCGUUACUGUUAGCCGAUGCGCCUCCCUUUUUAUGUACUGAAAGUCGACGCUGGUUUUCUUUAUUGUUUCCUCUCUUAAUUUUUUUCCCCUAUGCAAAAGGAAAAAAAAAUCCAAAAGGACAAUUAAAAAAAAAAGUUUAAAAAAAA